UACGAAGGGGGCUAGCGUUGUUCGGAGUUACUGGGCGUAAAGGGCGCGUAGGCGGCGCACCAAGUCAGGCGUGAAAGCCCUGGGCUCAACCCGGGAACUGCGUUUGAAACUACAAGGCUAGAGUGUGACAGAGGGGGGUGGAAUUCCACGUGUAGCAGUGAAAUGCGUAGAGAUGUGGAGGAACACCGAUGGCGAAGGCAGCCCCCUGGGUUAACACUGACGCUCAGGCACGAAAGCGUGGGGAGCAAACAGG
RNAcentral lists this ribosomal RNA (253 nucleotides) under uncultured bacterium. RNAcentral's name for it is "partial 16S ribosomal RNA". It matches the Rfam family "Bacterial small subunit ribosomal RNA", at positions 524 to 776 of the family's 1533-position model. The record is from RNAcentral.